This is a long non-coding RNA of Sinocyclocheilus grahami, 263 nucleotides long. RefSeq lists it as uncharacterized. The record is from RefSeq and is a predicted model, not a curated record. Lineage: Eukaryota; Metazoa; Chordata; Actinopteri; Cypriniformes; Cyprinidae. The transcript has 3 exons.
AACAAAAAAGGAAGGAAAGUUUGGGAAAAGCAAAAAGGGUUGGGAAGGAAACAAGUGAAGAGGAAGCAGAAUGCAAUAAAACCGUGUGCUGUAGACAGAGCUGUUUUUGACAGGGUGGAAACAGUGUUGUUUUACACUACCAUUAAGACAUGUUAACCAAACUAUGUUACAGACUUUUCAUUAAGACCCUAAAGAAUCAUAUCAACUUGGGCAUCCAAAAUGGGCAUCCGAUAACCCCUUUAAAAUUUUUUUCCUAAUAAAUA